Long non-coding RNA from Triticum aestivum (bread wheat), 1069 nucleotides. RefSeq lists it as uncharacterized. The record is from RefSeq and is a predicted model, not a curated record. The transcript is spliced from 2 exons. NCBI's taxonomy places the organism in Eukaryota, Viridiplantae, Streptophyta, Magnoliopsida, Poales, Poaceae.
AAGGCUUAUCUUCUUCCUCUGAGCGGUUGCCAAUCGGGAGAAAUCCCAAGGGCUGCUCCGGUCGUCUUCAUGGCCUCGUCAGGCCGCCGCCUUAGCCGUGCGACCAUGCCACGCGGCCGACCGGAUGGAGGGAGCGUCGCGCCUCGCGUUGGAGGACGCGGACGCGUCGCCCGGAGGAGCUUGUGCACCGUGGUGGCGCUCCGUCGGUGAGAGGAGCGGCGUAUCACGCGCCUGAGGGGCCGGAGGGCCAUCGCCGGCCUGCGCGGUUGCGAGCCGAGGGCCGCGACAUCGCCUCGGUCUUCCACGCCGCGUCGCGGUUGGAGGCCAUCCUCAGGAGCGCCGAGGCUGCCGUCUGCGACUUGCGCAGUGGGAGGGCGUGUAGCCAACGCCAGGGCCGAUGGCCACGGCACGCCCAGAGGAGCACCGUCGGGCCGAGGGCUGCUGCAUGCUCCUCGCUAGGAGCCCCGUACCUCACUUGGAAGGCGUGGCGCCAUGGGCAUGCACGCUGGGCAUUGCCGCGGUCGCGCGUUAAGCGGCCGCUGGCUACCUUGCGCGAAGGCCGAGCCGCCUCGUUUCCGUCGCGGGAGGCGAAACCGGUGGUUCUGGUGUCCCAGUCCAGCGUGGGGCCGAGGAAUCGAAGUGACAGUUUGAGACCGAGAGAUUUGUCGUCGUGGCCGUGCACGGCGCGAGGCUGCCGAUUGGAAGCGCUUUCGCCGGGCUGAGGACCGCCGUGCCACCACGCCGAACCAAUGGCUGUAGCCGUCAAACUCGCAGGCGAGCGAUGCUGCAGCCAGGAGCCGUCGCGCUGACGGAAUCGCUCCGCCAGGAGCCGUCGGGAGCAUGCUGAUAACGUAUUGUCGAGAAAGCCUUGGCACAGAUGUAAAAGUGAAUAGGUGUUCUUUCAUUAGAUGAUUGUAGGUACCUGAAAUCUUAAAAGUGCACGCCCACUUUUUCGUAGGAACGGGCGGCCGGGCUGGUUACUUACAUGUGUGUCUUUUUUUGUCAGCUAGUAAAUGUUUUUUGUUAGCAUUAAAUGCGUACGGACUAGUCCUGGAAACAGAUUCACGCA